UUGACAGGGUGACUGACCAACAUUGUCUUGCAGCCCUUGAGGAUUGGGAAAAAUGCUUUAUACGUAUGCUGCAAGCCAUGAGAUUCAGAGAUACAGUGACCUCACCCCGACUGGUAUCCCCCACUGUGUUACUCAUGAUACUUGCUUCUGGAGAUAUCAUCUCCCUCAGAUUCAAUCCUGAAUUACACAAGAAAUGUAGAGAAGACCUAUUACCACUACAUCUCAAACUUUUUAAUGAAAUUGAAAUGGAACCAACACUCCCAAAUUCAUUCCUGGAUGCAAGCUUUACCCCAACACCAAAACCAGAGAAGGAUUAAACCAAAAAGGAGAACUAAAGGCCAAUCUACCUAAUGAACAUAGACACAAAAAUCCUCAAUUAGGAACCAGCAAAUAGAAUGCAGCAAAUCAUCAAGAAGAGUAUAUAUAAUGACCAAGUAGGAUUCAUCCCAGGAAUUCAAGGAUGAUUCAACAUGCACAUAUCAACAAAUGUAUUAUACCAUAUUAUCAGAGCCAAAGACAAAAACCAUAUGAUCAUCUCAAUAGAUGCAGAAAAAGUGUAUGAGAAAUUCCAACACCCACUCAUGAUAAAUACCUUACAUGAAAUUGGAAUAGAUGACCUUUAUCUCAAUCUGAUAAAAGCCAUUUAUGACAAACCAACAACCAACAUCAUACUACAUGGACAAAACCUGAAAUCUCUCACUUUAAAAUCAGGAACAAAACAAAGAUGUGCACUAUCACCACUCCUAUUCAAUAUAGUUUUAGAAACACUAGCCAGAACAGCUAGACAAGAGAAAGAAAUAGAAGGAAUAAGGAUAUAAUAGGAAGUAAUUAAAUUAUAAUUAUCUGUGCAUGACAUGAUACUGUGUGUAGAUCCCAAAAACUGCACCAAAAGACUCCUAUAUUUAAUAAAUAAAAAUUCUGAUUGUA
Non-coding RNA from Heterocephalus glaber (naked mole-rat), 927 nucleotides. Lineage: Eukaryota; Metazoa; Chordata; Mammalia; Rodentia; Bathyergidae. The record is from RefSeq and is a predicted model, not a curated record.